Molecule: ribosomal RNA, 736 nt
Filed under: uncultured archaeon
Lineage: Archaea
Description: bacterial SSU rRNA
Rfam family: Archaeal small subunit ribosomal RNA
Source: RNAcentral
GGGAUAACCCUGGGAAACUGGGGAUAAUACUGGAUAGGCAAUUUUUCCUGUAAUGGUUUUUUGUUUAAAUGUUUUUUCGCCUAAGGAUGGGUCUGCGGCCGAUUAGGUAGUUGGUUAGGUAAUGGCUUACCAAGCCGUUGAUCGGUACGGGUUGUGAGAGCAAGAGCCCGGAGAUGGAACCUGAGACAAGGUUCCAGGCCCUACGGGGUGCAGCAGGCGCGAAACCUCCGCAAUGUGAGAAAUCGCGACGGGGGGAUCCCAAGUGCCAUUCUUAACGGGAUGGCUUUUCAUUAGUGAAAAAAGCUUUUGGAAUAAGAGCUGGGCAAGACCGGUGCCAGCCGCCGCGGUAACACCGGCAGCUCUAGUGGUAGCAAUUUUUAUUGGGCCUAAAGCGUCCGUAGCCGGUUUAAUAAGUCUCUGGUGAAAUCCUGCAGCUUAACUGUGGGAAUUGCUGGAGAUACUAUUAGACUUGAGACCGGGAGAGGUUAGAGGUACUCCCAGGGUAGAGGUGAAAUUCUGUAAUCCUGGGAGGACCGCCUGUUGCGAAGGCGUCUAACUGGAACGGUUCUGACGGUGAGGGACGAAAGUUAGGGGCGCGAACCGGAUUAGAUACCCGGGUAGUCCUAACUGUAAACGAUGCGGACUUGGUGUUGGGGUGGCUUUGAGCUGUCUCAGUGCCGAAGGGAAGCUGUUAAGUCCGCCGCCUGGGAAGUACGGGCGCAAGACUGAAACUUAA